Moniliophthora roreri MCA 2997 is the source of this 93-nucleotide transfer RNA. It matches the Rfam family "tRNA". From Rfam's summary of the family: Transfer RNA (tRNA) molecules are approximately 80 nucleotides in length. Their secondary structure includes four short double-helical elements and three loops (D, anti-codon, and T loops). Further hydrogen bonds mediate the characteristic L-shaped molecular structure. tRNAs have two regions of fundamental functional importance: the anti-codon, which is responsible for specific mRNA codon recognition, and the 3' end, to which the tRNAs corresponding amino acid is attached (by aminoacyl-tRNA synthetases). tRNAs cope with the degeneracy of the genetic code in two manners: having more than one tRNA (with a specific anti-codon) for a particular amino acid; and 'wobble' base-pairing, i.e. permitting non-standard base-pairing at the 3rd anti-codon position. NCBI's taxonomy places the organism in Eukaryota, Fungi, Basidiomycota, Agaricomycetes, Agaricales, Marasmiaceae. The record is from Rfam.
GCCCAAGUAGCGCAAUGGUAGUGCGUUGCUUUCCUAUCACCGUUGGGUUCUAUAACAAGGCAAAGGUUGUGGGUUCGAUCCCCAUCUUGGGUU